AAUCUAAUUGCCUAAAUUUUUUUUUUCUAAACUAACCAUAAAACAAAAUUUAAACUUUAUAUACAUAUUUCAAAUCAAAAUAAUAAUUCAAAUUUGAUUUAUAUCAAAUAUUGAUUCAAAAAUAUACAUAUAUUCAAAAAUGGAUUUUUACUAAACUAUUUUUCAAAAACCAUUAUAAAAAAAUAUUGUGAAUAUAUAUAAGAAAAAUAUAACACAAAGCCCAAUUUGAAAUACCAACUCAAAUUAUGGUUUUUAUAUUUCAUAUUAAGUUUUAAAAAUAUAAUAUAUGUAAUUAUUUAUAUGAUAGUAUGUAUAAAAUACUAUUAAUUAUAUGAUUACUUAU
RNAcentral lists this long non-coding RNA (343 nucleotides) under Brassica napus (rape). Its description in RNAcentral is "long non-coding RNA (BNAP_LNC006532)". The record is from RNAcentral. Lineage: Eukaryota; Viridiplantae; Streptophyta; Magnoliopsida; Brassicales; Brassicaceae.